Molecule: transfer RNA, 68 nt
Filed under: Odontobutis obscura
Lineage: Eukaryota; Metazoa; Chordata; Actinopteri; Gobiiformes; Odontobutidae
Description: tRNA-Ser
Source: RNAcentral
GAGAGAGGCCUGCAGGCAACGAAGACUGCUAAUCCUCGUCCCGUCGGUUGAAGUCGGAAGCUCACUCA